RNAcentral lists this ribosomal RNA (503 nucleotides) under uncultured bacterium. RNAcentral describes it as "partial 16S ribosomal RNA". It matches the Rfam family "Bacterial small subunit ribosomal RNA", at positions 30 to 523 of the family's 1533-position model. The record is from RNAcentral.
AUUGAACGCUGGCGGCAGGCUUAACACAUGCAAGUCGAGCGGGGUGAUGGUGCUUGCACUAUCACUUAGCGGCGGACGGGUGAGUAAUGCUUAGGAAUCUGCCUAUUAGUGGGGGACAACAUCUCGAAAGGGAUGCUAAUACCGCAUACGUCCUAGGGGAGAAAGCAGGGGAUCACUUGUGACCUUGCGCUAAUAGAUGAGCCGAAGUCGGAUUAGCUAGUUGGUGGAGUAAAGGACCACCAAGGCGACGAUCUGUAGCGGGUCUGAGAGGAUGAUCCGCCACACUGGGACUGAGACACGGCCCAGACUCCUACGGGAGGCAGCAGUGGGGAAUAUUGGACAAUGGGGGGAACCCUGAUCCAGCCAUGCCGCGUGUGUGAAGAAGGCCUUAUGGUUGUAAAGCACUUUAAGCGAGGAGGAGGCUCUUUUGGUUAAUACCCAGAAUGAGUGGACGUUACUCGCAGAAUAAGCACCGGCUAACUCUGUGCCAGCAGCCGCCGUAA